Molecule: ribosomal RNA, 305 nt
Filed under: uncultured bacterium
Lineage: Bacteria
Description: partial 16S ribosomal RNA
Rfam family: Bacterial small subunit ribosomal RNA
Source: RNAcentral
ACAGCAGUAGCCGCGGGAAUAGGUAGGGUGCAAGCGUUAAUCGGAAUUACUGGGCGUAAGGCGCACGUAGGCGGCUUGGUAAGUUAGAGGUGAAAGCCCGGAGCUCAACUCCGGAAUUGCCUUUAAGACUGCCGAGCUAGUAGGUGAGAGAGGUAAGUGGAAUUCCGAGUGUAGAGGUGAAAUUCGUAGAUAUUCGGAAGAACACCAGUGGCGAAGGCGGCUUACUGGCUCAUUCUAGACGCUGAGGUGCGAAAGCGUGGGGAGCAAACAGGAUUAGAUACCCCAGUAGUCCCUGUCUCUUAUAC